Molecule: ribosomal RNA, 440 nt
Filed under: uncultured bacterium
Lineage: Bacteria
Description: partial 16S ribosomal RNA
Rfam family: Bacterial small subunit ribosomal RNA
Source: RNAcentral
CCUACGGGAGGCAGCAGUGGGGAAUAUUGCACAAUGGGGGAAACCCUGAUGCAGCGACGCCGCGUGAGGGAAGAAGGAUUUCGGGAUGUAAAGCUCUAUUAGCAGGGAAGAAAAUGACGGUACCUGACGAAUAAGCCCCGGCUAACUACGUGCCAGCAGCCGCGGUAAUACGGAGGGAGCAAGCGUUAUCCGGAUUUACUGGGUGUAAAGGGGGCGUAGGCGGGAUAACAAGUCCGGGGUGAAAUUCUGUGGCUUAACCCUAGAACUGCUGUUGAAACUGUGCAGCUAGAGUGCAGGUGAGGUAGGUGGAAUGCGUGGUGUAGCGGUGAAAUGCGUAGAUAUUACGAGGAACACCGAUUGCGAAGGCGGCUUACUAGACUAUAACUGACGCUGAGGCACGAAAGCGUGGGGAGCAAACAGGAUUAGAUACCCUUGUAGUC